GACGAACGCUGGCGGCGUGCUUAACACAUGCAAGUCGAACGAUGAACCACUUCGGUGGGGAUUAGUGGCGAACGGGUGAGUAACACGUGGGCAAUCUGCCCUUCACUCUGGGACAAGCCCUGGAAAACGGGGUCUAAUACCGGAUAACACUGCCACGGGCAUCUGUGGUGGUUAAAAAGCUCCGGCGGUGAAGGAUGAGCCCGCGGCCUAUCAGCUUGUUGGUGAGGUAAUGGCNCACCAAGGCGACGACGGGUAGCCGGCCUGAGAGGGCGACCGGCCACACUGGGACUGAGACACGGCCCAGACUCCUACGGGAGGCAGCAGUGGGGAAUAUUGCACAAUGGGCGAAAGACCUGAUGCAGCGACGCCGCGUGAGGGAUGACGGCCU
This 388-nucleotide ribosomal RNA is filed under the name uncultured bacterium. RNAcentral describes it as "bacterial SSU rRNA". It matches the Rfam family "Bacterial small subunit ribosomal RNA", at positions 28 to 417 of the family's 1533-position model. The record is from RNAcentral.